This 374-nucleotide RNase P RNA is filed under the name Escherichia coli. Its description in RNAcentral is "RNase P RNA component class A". It matches the Rfam family "Bacterial RNase P class A". From Rfam's summary of the family: Ribonuclease P (RNase P) is a ubiquitous endoribonuclease, found in archaea, bacteria and eukarya as well as chloroplasts and mitochondria. The record is from RNAcentral. Lineage: Bacteria; Pseudomonadati; Pseudomonadota; Gammaproteobacteria; Enterobacterales; Enterobacteriaceae.
GAAGCUGACCAGACAGUCGCCGCUUCGUCGUCGUCCUCUUCGGGGAGACGGGCGGAGGGGAGGAAAGUCCGGGCUCCAUAGGGCAGGGUGCCAGGUAACGCCUGGGGGAAACCCACGACCAGUGCAACAGAGAGCAAACCGCCGAUGGCCCGCGCAAGCGGGAUCAGGUAAGGGUGAAAGGGUGCGGUAAGAGCGCACCGCGCGGCUGGUAACAGCCCGUGGCACGGUAAACUCCACCCGGAGCAAGGCCAAAUAGGGGUUCAUAAGGUACGGCCCGUACUGAACCCGGGUAGGCUGCUUGAGCCAGUGAGCGAUUGCUGGCCUAGAUGAAUGACUGUCCACGACAGAACCCGGCUUAUCGGUCAGUUUCACCU